GGGCUGGGGAGGAGCCGCGGUCGCAAGCCGCUCGUUUCUGCCACGUCCCUCCCGGGCGAAGGCGAGCCUGGCGGGCAGCGGCCGGGAGCGCCACAGCACGUGCGCGCUGCAUGAAUGUCUGUUUGUUGGUGGUGUGAGCCAGUGUUUUGGACAAAGCAAUGUUUUAGAAACAGAACUAUAGAAAGAGAACCUCCAGCCAAAGGUUUUUAUACAGGAACCAAUCCGACGUGAAAAGAAACGAGGUCGACCAGAAGAAGCAUUUCUUGGUUGCCCCUUUGA
This is a long non-coding RNA of Pseudonaja textilis, 279 nucleotides long. RefSeq lists it as uncharacterized. The record is from RefSeq and is a predicted model, not a curated record. Lineage: Eukaryota; Metazoa; Chordata; Lepidosauria; Squamata; Elapidae.